This is a long non-coding RNA of Glycine soja, 1780 nucleotides long. RefSeq lists it as uncharacterized. The record is from RefSeq and is a predicted model, not a curated record. The transcript is spliced from 2 exons. NCBI's taxonomy places the organism in Eukaryota, Viridiplantae, Streptophyta, Magnoliopsida, Fabales, Fabaceae.
AACAUUAGGGUUUGCAACACAAGUAUAUAUAUUGCAUCAUAGUAAGGUAAAUAGACAUCAGUCUCUGAAUGGCACUGCGCGUUGUUGUUUUCUGUUGGUGAGGUAUAUGUUUGAAGGCCGAAGUGGACGGAAAUGAAGAUAAUUCUUUGAUUUUGAUUCUCUAAAGUUGAAUAAUCUUUUUUAGUUAUUCCCAUUAUAUCAUAACAUUUUGUUGUUGAUUACUUGAUUUCACAAAAGUCGAUUGAUUUUUGUUCAUGGUUGAUGCACUGCAUCUGUUUACCCUCUCCAAUUUUGUCCAGCUUCAAUGGCUGUGGAGUUAAAACUGAUGCAAAGAUUCAAAAAGGUUGACUUACCAGCCCAUUGCACCGAUUUUUAAAUUGCCAUGGGUCAAAUGGAUUUACCGAAAUCCCCAUAUAGAAAAAGUUUUUUUUUAAAGCAAAUGUGUCACUUGUAUUCUGUUUUCAGUGAUUUGGCAGACGAUGAUUUAGUAUUAAACCCCUUAUUGAUAUACUGAUACGCUGUGAUGACCAUAAACUCCACUUAUCUGAUACCAUAUAACAUUAGUAUUUUUGUUUUAUGUUUUGUUUGUUGUUACUUCGUCGUGUAGUGACCUCACUAUAGUUAUAAAGGGUUGGCAAAUGAUGUGAAAAUUUCUUAUCCUAUACACUGAAUAAAUAUUGUGAAGAUCAAAAACUCCGCUUAUUAUCUGAUGCCUUCCCUGUCUUAAUUUUCUCACUUUUAGUUUUGGUUGUAACUCUUGAGUGAUUUUUGUGUGUUGUGGGGUUUGAAAAAACUUUAUAUGAUUUUGUACAAUUGUUUAACUCAUCAAUGAUGAAGAAAUGCAGACGGGCGGACUGAACUGAUGCCGUGUUGAUUGUCUGCCACUUCCAUUUUCGGAAUUUCUCUGAGAUUAUAUUGCAUAUGAUUGUGUUGAUUAAAUAUAUGUAUUUUGGCUGGUAUUUUUUUGUUUUUUUAAAGGAUUGAAACUUCUGCAAUGAUGCAGUUGCAUAAAUAUGUCUGGACAUAUGAAUUUUUUUAUGAUAUAAUAUAAUUGCUUCUUCUGAGCAAAAGUAUCAAUCCAUUGAUUGUGCAUUCUUUUACCCACCACUUCUCCAGUUGGAUGAGUUUAUGUCUUUGUUUAUAUCACCAAUUUGCUAUUUGUAAUUUUAAUUUAUUUCUGCUAGUUGCUGGUUUUAAUUUUAGUUUAUCUUUUUCCUUAACUGGCCUUGAAAUCUUUAAUUGUAAAUUGCUAUUCGCUUGUUUGGUUUUCUCUGAUGACUUAUUUUAAAGAAUCUAUUAGUAUCAAAUAAGAGCAUGGCAUCUAGUCACCGCACUCACAAGAAUAAGCACAAAAGACGCCGAACAGAAUUUGAGAUUUUUGCUUCCAGUUUUGGAAUUAACAAGAAUAGCAUCCUGUGCAUGUAAAAUCUAACAAGAUCAUAAGGUAAAGGAUUAAUUGUGGCAAUGUUGAUCAAGACAAUGAAAAAUCAACUGAAAUGGGAAGACAUUGGUUAAAAAAGUGAAGCAAAUUCAGUCCGGUAUGUCACUGAUAGCAAGAGUUAAAUUUGGAAAAUGGUCUGUGAUUCCAACCAUGGUGACAAUGCAAUACUACUAAACUGCAAAGAUGAAACUUGAUGACGGAUUUUGUGUAACUACUUCACAACACGGCAGCAUAAGGUUGAAAAGUUUGCAAAUUAAUUCAUCUGGUUGUUUCAUCAUUGUAUAUUUUUCUACAAGGUUUAGAGAUAAUUGAGACGACCGAUAAAUAAUUAGCUUUUCA